RNAcentral lists this long non-coding RNA (863 nucleotides) under Oreochromis niloticus (Nile tilapia). RNAcentral's name for it is "lncRNA (ENSONIG00000030347.1)". Lineage: Eukaryota; Metazoa; Chordata; Actinopteri; Cichliformes; Cichlidae. The record is from RNAcentral.
AUGGACAUUUUCACAUAUGGUCACCUCAGCUUUUUGAUAUUUCUGCUUUGGAUCAAAGGUCUAACCGAUGCCAAGGAUGUCACACAAACUCCCAUGCUGUGGGAACAACAGGGUAAUAAUGCAACAAUGGACUGCAGCCAUACCAAGGGUGCUUCCUAUUUCCAGAUGUACUGGUACAGACAGCUUCCAGGAGAAAAUAUGGAACUGAUUGUGUUCACGACAACAGCCAAAAAAUACGAUCAUGACUUUGGAAAAUUCAAAAAAGAGAAAUACUCAGCCACAAAGACUGAGGCUCGUGAUGGGACAUUUACAGUGAAGAACCUGCAGCCAAAAGACAGUGGCUGGUAUUUCUGUGCCGUCAGUGAGCACAGUGAUACAGACUCAUGUGAAAGCUGAACAAAAACCUCACUGAAUGGUUGGCACAAGUGUUGCAAUUAUUUCCUGUACUGUAGGGGGACCUCAAGUACAACUACAGAUCAGAGGAUCAUAUGAAGGUCUUCAUCUUCCCACCACACACACAUUUAAGUUUUGGUUCCUCUGAACAGGAUGAUGAUCACAGCUGGCUGGAUAAAACUCUCUUCAAUGCUCUGUUUGCAUAUAUGAAGCUUCCACAUAAAUGACGGCAUGAAAAACCAUUCAUAGAAAAUUAUAAACUCAUAUUCACAGGCUCAUUAAGUCAUUCAGUAGAUACAAACAAAAUUAAUCAGUAAAAUAAAUAAAGAUAUAUUUAGUUACAGUUUUAAAUGACCGGUUAAUGAUAUGACAUACAGAACCAUAUACACACACACUGAAAUUACUGCCAACCAUUAAGUUAAAAAAAACAAAAUAAAACAAACAAACAUAUUUCACUCAAAGACAGCCCA